RNAcentral lists this long non-coding RNA (9497 nucleotides) under Triticum aestivum (bread wheat). Its description in RNAcentral is "long non-coding RNA (TAES_LNC023242)". Lineage: Eukaryota; Viridiplantae; Streptophyta; Magnoliopsida; Poales; Poaceae. The record is from RNAcentral.
GAAAGUAUGUCUAGAGGGGGGGGUGAUUAGACUACUUGACAAUAUAAAAAUUCUGCCUUUUGACAAAGAACAGUUUUUUGGCAGAUUCACGAUUAUGAUCAAGUCAAGCAUCACCCUACACAUGCAAUUCUAGAGUAUAGGCAGCGGAAAGUAAAUUGCACAUGUAGUAAAGAGAGGUGGAGAAGAGCAAACGCAAUUUUGGAGACGCGGUGAUUUUUCUCGUGGUUCCGAUAGGUGGUGCUAUCGUACUUCCAUGUUGAUGGAGACUUCAACCCACGGAGGGUAACGGCUGCGAGAGUCCACGGAGGGCUCCACCCACGAAGGGUCCACGAAGAAGCAACCUUGUCUAUUCCAUCAUGGCCUACACCCACGGAGGACUAGCCUUACUCGGGGUAGAUCUUCACGAAGUAGGCGAUCUCCUUGCCCUUACAAACUUCUUGGUUCAACUCCACAUCUCGACGGAGGCUCCCAAGCGACACCUAACCAAUCUAGGAGGCACCACCCUCCAAAAGGUAAUAGAUGGUGUUGAUGAUGAUGAACUCCUUGCUCUUGUGCUUCAAAUGAUAAUCUCCCCAACACUCAACUCUCCUCACUGAUUUGGCUGUGGUGGAAGAAAGGAUUGAGUGGAAAGCAACUUGGGAAGGCUAGAGAUCAAGCUUCAUAUGGUGGGAGUGGAGCAACUUGAUCUCAACACAAGGGUAGGUAGUUCUCUUCUCAGAAAUGUAAGGUAGGAGUGGUAGUUCUUUUUGAUGGCUCUCUCCAUGAAUGAAGAGGGGGUGGAGGGGUAUUUAUAGCCUCCACACAAAAUCCAACCGUUACACACAUUUGAGCAAUCUCGGUGGGACCGAAGUUGACAACUCGGUGAGACCGAAAGUUCAAAUAAUGUGAACGUUGGGAUUUUCGGUGGGACCGAAAAUACAAUCUCGGUUAGUCCGAUUCGUGCAAAGACAAGAGCUUGCCAAUUUCGGUGGGACCGACUUCAUCAUCUCGGUGACACCGAUUUGAUGACAGAAGGUUACAGAAGCUUGGCAACUCAAGUUUCGGUGAGACCGAGUUCUGAAUCGGAAAAUCCGAGUUUGCUAGGGUUUGGCUUUAUGGCUGAGGUGGUUCAUCUCGGUGUGACUGAGUUUGGAAAAUCGGUGGGACCGAGACUACUUAUGAGUGUAUAUGGCAGUGAAAGUUGCUGAUAGUUUAGGAGAUGUAUCACUAAGCACUUGAGCAACCAGAUCAUCAUCAUAACCUCAUCCCCUUUUAAUAGUAUUGGCUUUUCCUAUGGACUCAAUGUGAUCUUGGAUCACUAAACCAAAAAUGGAGUCUUGAGCUUUUGCCAAUGCUUGCCUUAGCAUUUGAGGGGUCCACUUCUUCAGUCCUUGCCAUACCCAUAUCACUGAACUUUCUGAAAUGAUUCUCAAGUAGCUAUUAGUUCAAUGAUAUAUAUGUUGUUAUUAAUUACCAAAACCACCCGGGGAUUAGUUGCACUUUCAAUCUCCCCCUUUUUGGUAACUGAUGACAACAUAUAGAUCAAAGCUUCGACAAAGGAUAUAAUCAAUGAAUAAUAUCGUCGCUUUGAGAAGUAUGUGAUAAGCAAGAGCUCCCCCUAAAUUUGUGCAUUAUUUAAGAUUUGCGUUUGAAUGCAAAUGCACAAUCGAUUAGGAUCAUGGGUCACUCUUCCAUGUCACAUACAUCUUGGUGGAGCGCACAAAAUGAUAAGAAUGAACAGCAUGCACCCAAUCACCAAGACAUGAGUAAAUGGUCAUACAAGAUAGGAAUAGCAUAUGAUAAGCAUUAAGCACACAUUAAAGCAUAGUACGACCAAGCACUCAUUAAGGUAGAAUCAAACAAAGUAUCAAACACACUGAAUGUCUCGAAAACCAAAAGAAACCGCAAAAGAACGAAAGAGCAAAAGCGCAAAGACAAUAGCACUCUCUCUCUCGAAGUCCUAUGAUCUAUACAAUUUCUCCCCCUUUGGCAACAAGUUACCAAAAAGUUCGAAAAAGCAUAGAGCUAAGCGUCACUGGGGACUCUGCUGGCGGCUCCUGUCUGGGUUGAUGUCGGAGUGGAUAUGACAGCAUCGGCGAAGACUUCAGCUGAUGUCUGUGCUGGAGGAGUGGUCUCUGGAGCUGGAGUUGGAGUAACUGCUGGAACUGUGGGAGGUGCUGAAGCUGUAGUCCUGGUGUCUGUCACCGGAAUAGCAGCUGAUCGGGGUCCUGUGGGAACCGGAGCAGUCUGUUGCUGAAAAUCCUGGACUAAGUCAUCCUGCAUCUCACGCAUAAGCUCUUCCUUCUCCCGCUUUGCUUCCUCAAUGUCUGCCUCAAGCUUGUUGACAGUCACUUGCACUUCAGUCAGCUUCACAUCCAAAGCGUGGAUCUUGUCCUCAACAAUCCUCUCUAAGCUCUCCUGAGACUGUACAAUGCUGGCCAGGCAUUGUUCAAUCCUUUGGGUAGCUUCAAGAAUUUGCUCUCCGAAGCUCUUUGGUUUAGCUGCUGCUGCUGCUGCUUCCUUGUCAGCUUUGGCUUUCUUAGCAGCUUCGAUCUUGGCUUGACCUUCAACAGAUGUUGGAUCCUCCUCAUCCAUCACAACAACAUUCUCUUCAUGCUCUGGCUGCAGCGGUAAAUGUUCUCUAUCCAACAAGAAUGUGCCCGUGCCAAACUUGGCAUUGAUAAGCAUCUAAAUCUGCGGGGCAAAUCCACAUGACCUUUUCUGGUCAGCUGCAGUCCUCUUAAUGGUCUCUACCAUCAAGUCCAUCACCUUGAAAGGUGCUUUCUCAUCAAGUAUGUGCAGCAUGUUGAUAGAGUAUCCUCUGAUCAUGCGAUGAUCUCCAGACUUGGGCAUCAAGGUAUGCCUCAAAAUAGUAUUAGUGGUAGGUAAGCCUGCCUGGAGAUAGUAGACUGAGCCGAGCUUCCAGAUUCCCAAAUCCUUUGCUGGAAUCUCUUUGUACAUGUUCUUCAUAGAUUCAUGAUUCUUCUUUGGAAUCCCAUAUACAUCAAUAUCAUCUUCUCGUUGCACUGGAGCAUUCAGAAGUUCUGCCCAUUCUUCAACAGAAGAAGAAAAUCUUUGACCUUCAGUCAUCCACACAAUCUUUCCAUCAGGGUAGAAAUGAGCUGUGGCAUAGAAUUGCAUUAUCAUCUCAUCGUUCCAUCUGGUCAAUUUCUGACCUACAAAGUCUGCAACUCCACAUGCAGUGAAACUUUCAUGCACAUGUGGAAAGAAAUCUCUGUGCUCUUCGCUGUCAAUGUACUUCCAGUCAACAUAUCUUGUGUCUGCGACUAUGGGCUUCUUGUCCAUCAGCACGGUCUCAUAGAAGUCCUGCUACUCUCUGGUGUGAAAUCUGGGAUCUACAGCAGUUCUUCUCCUCACGGCAUAUGGGUCAGUUUGUCUCCAUAGCCUGAGACCUUUAUCUUUCCUUGCCUUCAUAUCCUCAGCUUGAGGAUGAGCAUCAUUAUGUAGUGGCAGUUUUGGACGAAGUUUCUGCAAAACUGGUGCUUCAUCGUCUGACACAGCUGGUGGCACAUCAUCCUUGUUCUUUUCAGACACUGGAAUGUUUCUGAUGGUCUUCUUGGGCUUGGCAGCAGGCUUUGCUGGAGGUGCCUUAGCUGGAGCAGAUUUCUUGGGCUUUGAUGUGGCUCCAGCCUUAAUGGCAUCACCCAUGAGCUUCUGCUUCUAAGGAGUAGGCUGGGGUGCUUCCUCAUCCUCAUCCUCUACUGCUGCAUCUACAUGAGGAUCAAUAUACAUAUCUGCUCUAGCUCCUGACACAUACACUAUCCUCUUUCUCUUGGAAGUUUUCUUCACUUUGCUUGCAGUUGCCUCUCCCAAAUUCAGCUUCUUAGCAACAGUUGACUGCUUGACUUUGCUGGUGCCCUUCUUAGUUUGUUGACCUUGUUGCUCUUUGGCAACAACCUUCCUUUUGGGCUUUGAGGUCACCUCUUCCUCAAAAACAAAAUCUGAAUCUUCAUCAUCUGAAUUUCUCUUCUUUCUAGCUCUGGUGGCUGCAGGAGGCAAACCACUUGGUGUACUCCUCUCACCAUCAUCAGAUGAGCUGCUAGGAUCAGGACUAGUGCCUGCCUCUGGAAUAUCUGUAAUGGGCAUCUCUGACCUGUUCUGACUGUCACUGGCAUCUGACAUGGCUGACAACCUGUGAAUAGAUAAGGUGUAGGCAGAGAAGAAGAGUCAUCACAAAAGCAGAAGUUUUUGCAAAAAAAAUGAGUUCAAAUUCUAGUAUUAGGUUUUCACAGAAGACAUUUCGGUCAGACCGAGUUUAAGAUUCGGUGAAUCCGAAGUGUUAAACAGGAGCUUGGCACACCACUUUCGGUUUGACCGAAGUGGGUUUCGGUCCUGCCGAAAACACUAGGGUUUCACAGAAUCCUCAUUUCGGUCACACCGAUUUGCACAACUCGGUUGGACCGAAGGGUGCAGUGCAAUGGCCAUAGGCCAAAUCGGUCAUACCGAAAAUGUAAAAUCGGUCUCACCGAGAUGUGUUCGGCAGAAACCUAAUCCUAAAACUUUUACUCGAAUUUAGUCCAAACGAACUAAUCUGGUGUACAGGAGGAUUUCAAUCGUGGCAAGAUACUAGGCAAUCCAAAUGUGCAUUGAAUCGGAGAUGGGAGCACGAGUGGGAUCAAAACUCACCCUAACUUGGUGGAGUUUUUCUACGGCGGCAACGGCUCGGAGGAGAUGUUCGUUGACGGCGACGGAGACCUGCGACGAGGGCGCACAGGCGACGACGGCGACGAUCCGGAGACCAAGGCGACGGCAGCAAGGGGUGUGGGGGCGAAACGUUUGAAGGAGAAAUCAACGCGCGCGGCCCUCGGAGUAUAUAUACCCCUUUGCUGUCGGUGGGACCGAGUUGUAAAACUCGGUGGCACCGAGAUGGAUAACUGCUAGGCAGUUAUGCACUUCGGUCACGCCGAAAAUCACAACUCGGUUUCACCGAGGUAAAAACCUAGAUCAGUCUAAAUGCUUUCGGUUCGACCGAGUUUGAGUGAGUUGGUCUGACCGAAAUCAAUUAGAAGGUUUUGGAAGUUAGCCCUUGAUGGAUCGGUGGCUCCGAGUGCUCCUCACCCGGAGGGUCCGAAAAUGACUUGUUCAAAAUUUGUGAUGUAAGCAUGAAUAGAAUUUGAGACAAGAAAGCAUAGAUAGCUAGGGGAGGUACUUAGGCAUUCUUGUUCAUCCAUUUGGUCAGAAAACUCAAAAAGACCAAAACAACAAAUGGAUGUCCUCGAAUGGAUAAAAUCAUGCAUCCAACAUGCUCAGACAAUAAGAUAGCAAAUGAAAUAUGUGUCAAACAUGCACAACUAAAACUCUAGCAACUAACACACAAUUUGUCGAUGACUAGGUCAUCUUUAUAUGAGUAUAUUGACUUAGGAGCCAAAUGAGAACAUUUGAUCAUAGGUCAUACUCAUCGUUUAAGCACAAGUGGGGUUACCACUUUUCCAUAAAGCAUUGAUGUGUUCACAUCAUUUGAAGAUGCUUUAGCUCAAUUUUUAGAGCAAAGCUCCCCUAGAUGUGAGAACCCCUUUUAAAGGGUCAAACUAACCUUGGGUUGUCGUAGAAGACUUCAUGUAGAUGUUGAAGAUGUGGAUGCUCAAUGUUGAUGGAGAUCAUCAAGAGUUGGGAGCUAUCCUUUGGAUUCGGGCACUUUCAAUACCUACAUGGGUUAGUCCCACAAGGAACAAACAAGGAUAUCCAUGGACAUAGAUUGAAGUUCACAAUAGAUGAUGUCCAUGAAAGCAAUGAUUACCUUGUCCCUUGACUUACCAACAAGAGGGUUUGUGACUCCAUGAACUAGUGCACGAUGUGGAAGUUGAUUGCACAAGUUUUUGCCAAAAUGAAUGUGAGUGAAGUAUGUUGGCGGAGUCACCCUCAAGAACUUUCUAGUUCUUCUUCUUCGGGAUCCACAUCAUCUUGAUGGGAAUCCUUGGGGUUGUAGUUGAGCUUGACGAAGUAGAACUUGACGUUUCCUUGGGAACCCACUUGACCAUGGCUUGAGGUGCUUCAACAAAUGCAUCAAUCUCCUCUUGAAGCUUGUCCUUGCCUUUUAGCUUGUGGUCUUGUGGUGGAAGGUCAUCUUGAGCUUGUUCCGCAUUGGAAGAAGUAGAAUCAUACUUCUCCUUUUGAGGAACAAACUGUGGAGUAGGAUAUUGACCUUCUUCCCAUUCAACACCUUCGGCGUUGAACUUUCGCUCAAAACCAAUUCCUUGAUUCUUCCGGUGCCUUCCUUGCUUGCGAACAAUUUCCUCAAAGUUCUUGCUUCCGGCAAGGCUCUUGUAGACACCUUUCUCUAUAAUCCCUUUCAAUAAACUAUUUUCUUGCUCAAGUGUAACUUGGCUUGAAACAUUGUUAGUGGAAUCAAGAGAACUACUAGAAGCAACAAUAUUGGAUUUAGCAUGGUUAUUGUUACUACUAGAGAAAGAAUUUUUCUUAUGCUUGUCAUGCUUAGUUUUAAUGGGUGGCAAGAAAUUAGACAAGAGAAGUCGUUUGGCAAGAUAUGAAGAACUCUUCUUUCGAAGAUCGUCAUUGAUUGCUUUUAGAAACUCAUGUUCUUGCUCUAGAGUGAGCUUCUCGAAGCGUAGCUUCUCAUGAGAUCUUAGGAGCUCUCUAUGAUCUUCUUGAGUUGUUUCAUGAGCUAACUUAAGAGUGUUUAGUUCUUUAGUUAGACGCUCAAUCUCCUUCAUAGCAUUGUCAUUCGACUCUUCUCGACUAUAAAGACUACUAGCAUGUUCAUCAUUACUAGGCUCACUGGAUUUAUCAAGCAAGAGCUCAUCUUCACCAAGCAAGUCAUCCUCAUCACUAUUGAAGUCAAUGAAUUCAGGGUGUGAUACCUUGGGGCCUUUAGCCAUGAAGCAUCUUCCAAUUCCCUCAUUUGGUGAAUAAAAUAAGUCGUAGGAGUUGGAGUUGGAGGAUACGAGAGCAAGACCGGCAACACCUUCAUCUUGACUGUAGUCGGAAUUGGAGUGAUAGCUUCCUUCGGAUUGAUUGUCGGAGUCGGAGCCGGAGACCCAUUCACCUACAUGAGCUUGAUGUUUUCUUCUUGUGUAACUCCUUGAUGACUUGUCUUUCCUCUCCGAAUCCUUGCUUCUCCGAGAGGGUCUUCGUUCAUAACGAUCAUCUCUGCUCCUUCUCUCUUUCCGAGGUGACUCAUCUCUUGAGCUUCUUCUUCUUGGAGAUUCUUCUCUUCUCUUGUGGGGAGCCGUACACUCAUUUGAGUAGUGUCCGGGUCUUCCACAAUUGUAGCAGUUUCGAUCACGACUAGAAGAUCUCUUUUCAUCAUAUGAUCUAGACUUUGAGCUUCUCUCUUUGCCUCUAUUCUUGUAGAAUUUGUUGAAGUUUUUGACCAUUAGGCUUAUCUCUUCAUUGGAAACUAACUUGUCACUUGAGGUUGUGGGAGCAUCACUUGUAGCUUUGUAAGCACCACUUGACUUGUUGUGAAGCUCUUCAUUAUCCUUAAGUGUCAUCUCAUGAGCAACAAUUCUUCCAAUGACUUCGGUUGGCUUGAGAUUCUUGUAGUUUGGCAUCAUUUGGAUCAAAGUGCACACGGUGUCAUACUUUCCAUCCAAAGCUCUGAGAAUCUUCUUGAUGAUGAAUCGGUCGGUCAUUUCUUCGCUUCCUAAGCCGGCAAUCUCAUUUGUGAUGAGAGCAAGCCUAGAGUACAUUUCAGCGACUCCUUCACCAUCCUUCAUCUUGAACUUGUCAAGUUGACCUUGAAGAAUAUCUAGCUUUGAUUCCUUCACGGACUCGGUACCUUCGUGCAUUUCAACCAAAGUAUCCCAAAUCUCUUUUGCAUUCUCAAGACGGCUGAUUUUGUUGAACUCCUCGGGACACAAGGCAUUGAAGAGAAUGUCACAAGCUUGAGCAUUGUUUUGCAACAUCCGCAAUUCUUCCGUUGUAGCUUCGCGAUCCGGAACUUUUCCUUCCUCGAAGAAUUCACCUUGCAUACCAACACAAAUAAUGCCCCAUGCGGCUGGGUUAUGGCCAAGAAUAUGCAUUUUCAUUUUAUGCUUCCAACUAGCAAAAUUUGUACCAUCAAAGUAAGGACCUCUACGAAAAUUACCCUCACUAGACGCCAUACUCUCCUAGGUUGUGAAACCAAGCUUAUGGAGUCCAAUGCAAUGGAAACCAAUACAAUGGAGACCAAAGCUCUGAUACCACUUGUAGGAUCGAAAGUAUGUCUAGAGGGGGGGUGAUUAGACUACUUGACAAUAUAAAAAUUCUGCCUUUUGACAAAGAACAGUUUUUUGGCAGAUUCACGAUUAUGAUCAAGUCAAGCAUCACCCUACACAUGCAAUUCUAGAGUAUAGGCAGCGGAAAGUAAAUUGCACAUGUAGUAAAGAGAGGUGGAGAAGAGCAAACGCAAUUUUGGAGACGCGGUGAUUUUUCUCGUGGUUCCAAUAGGUGGUGCUAUCGUACUUCCACGUUGAUGGAGACUUCAACCCACGGAGGGUAACGGCUGCGAGAGUCCACGGAGGGCUCCACCCACGAAGGGUCCACGAAGAAGCAACCUUGUCUAUUCCAUCAUGGCCUACGCCCACGGAGGACUAGCCUUACUCGGGGUAGAUCUUCACGAAGUAGGCGAUCUCCUUGCCCUUACAAACUUCUUGGUUCAACUCCACAUCUCGACGGAGGCUCCCAAGCGACACCUAACCAAUCUAGGAGGCACCACCCUCCAAAAGGUAAUAGAUGGUGUUGAUGAUGAUGAACUCCUUGCUCUUGUGCUUCAAAUGAUAAUCUCCCCAACACUCAACUCUCCUCACUGAUUUGGCUGUGGUGGAAGAAAGGAUUGAGUGGAAAGCAACUUGGGAAGGCUAGAGAUCAAGCUUCAUAUGGUGGGAGUGGAGCAACUUGAUCUCAACACAAGGGUAGGUAGUUCUCUUCUCAGAAAUGUAAGGUAGGAGUGGUAGUUCUUUCUGAUGGCUCUCUCCACGAAUGAAGAGGGGGUGGAGGGGUAUUUAUAGCCUCCACACAAAAUCCAACCGUUACACACAUUUGAGCAAUCUCGGUGGGACCGAAGUUGACAACUCGGUGAGACCGAAAGUUCAAAUAAUGUGAACGUUGGGAUUUUCGGUGGGACCGAAAAUACAAUCUCGGUUAGUCCGAUUCGUGCAAAGACAAGAGCUUGCCAAUUUCGGUGGGACCGACUUCAUCAUCUCGGUGACACCGAUUUGAUGACAGAAGGUUACAGAAGCUUGGCAACUCAAGUUUCGGUGAGACCGAGUUCUGAAUCGGAAAAUCCGAGUUUGCUAGGGUUUGGCUUUAUGGCUGAGGUGGUUCAUCUCGGUGUGACUGAGUUUGGAAAAUCGGUGGGACCGAGACUACUUAUGAGUGUAUAUGGCAGUGAAAGUUGCUGAUAGUUUAGGAGAUGUAUCACUAAGCACUUGAGCAACCAGAUCAUCAUCAUAACCUCAUCCCCUUUUAAUAGUAUUGGCUUUUCCUAUGGACUCAAUGUGAUCUUGGAUCACUAAACCAAAAAUGGAGUCUUGAGCUUUUGCCAAUGCUUGCCUUAG